GAAUGGACUCUAAAGUAAUGAUACCUGAGUGGUAGGAGUACAAGCCCUUUCUAAGUUUUCUCUGAACAUAUAUUACUUGUGCAGGAAGUUAUUUUUUUAAGUCAUAAAUCUAGUCUACCUCAUCUCUUCUCCCAGGCCUGAGCUGAAGCCUGUGGACAAGGAAUCAGAGGUCGUAAUGAAGUAAGUGCUGGGCCACUGGGACUGGUGGGGAAUUGCUUGCUUCCAGCUGCCCCCACAUCCUCACCCCUACCUCCUGCAGGUUCCCUGAUGGGUUUGAGAAGUUCUCGCCGCCAAUUCUGCAGCUAGAUGAGGUGGAUUUCUACUAUGAUCCGAAGCACGUCAUCUUCAGUCGCCUCUCUGUGUCUGCUGAUCUCGAGUCUCGCAUCUGUGUGGUUGGAGAGAAUGGGGCUGGGAAGUCUACCAUGCUGAAGCUGCUUUUGGGGGACCUGGCACCUGUUCGGGGCAUCAGACACGCUCACAGGAAUCUGAAGAUUGGCUAUUUCAGCCAGCACCAUGUGGAGCAGCUGGACCUAAACGUCAGUGCUGUGGAACUGCUGGCGCGCAAGUUUCCUGGGCGGCCUGAGGAGGAGUACCGUCACCAGCUGGGUCGGUAUGGCAUCUCCGGAGAACUGGCCAUGCGUCCUGUUGCCAGCUUGUCUGGGGGCCAGAAGAGCCGAGUGGCCUUUGCUCAGAUGACUAUGCCCUGCCCCAACUUCUACAUUCUGGAUGAACCCACAAACCACCUGGACAUGGAGACCAUCGAGGCUCUGGGCCGUGCCCUCAACAAUUUCAGGGGUGGUGUGAUUCUGGUGUCCCACGAUGAGCGCUUUAUCAGGCUGGUGUGCCGGGAGUUGUGGGUGUGCGAAGGAGGCGGCGUCACCCGCGUGGAAGGAGGAUUUGACCAGUACCGCGCCCUCCUCCAGGAACAGUUCCGCCGCGAAGGCUUCCUCUAGGGCCACCAGGCUGAGGACUCGCCCAGGACAUGGACUGGUCUCUCAGACCCCUGGGCCACCACGUAGGCCACCACUCCAGGCCGUGGACUUCCCCCAACUUGGGGACAGCCUUAUUCCCAAAUGUCUCUCUCCUUUUGACUGGAGCAUCUUCUGCACAACCUUGGGAGCCCCAUCCAAGGGUUGGUGAGGACUGGUCUCCCGGGGGCGGGGGUCUGGGGGGUACCCUCUGGGGUUAUAGAUUCCCCCACUGCCCCAGCCCUGACUGGACCCCAAGUGGCUGCUAUGUAAAUUAAAUCUCUCCCCGCGUCU
RNAcentral lists this small RNA (1262 nucleotides) under Pongo abelii (Sumatran orangutan). RNAcentral describes it as "retained intron". The record is from RNAcentral. Lineage: Eukaryota; Metazoa; Chordata; Mammalia; Primates; Hominidae.